This 3063-nucleotide long non-coding RNA is filed under the name Olea europaea subsp. europaea. Lineage: Eukaryota; Viridiplantae; Streptophyta; Magnoliopsida; Lamiales; Oleaceae. The record is from RNAcentral.
AUAUAUACUUUCAAGUGAAGAAUGAUGAAGAUAUUUUGCAAACCUUAUCCACCGAGGAAAACAUUGUGGUAAGAUUUGUUCUAUAAAAUUGAUUCCGUUUAAUUAAUAAGUUAUUAUUUUGGGACACUAAAACUGUUUUUCUCCUAUGAAGUGUAAUACUCCUAUUGCUCGUCGUCUGUUAUGUUUUCUCCUAUAUAGGUCUAAUUAUUCCUAAAUUCUUUAAUGUUUUCUCUUUCUGGUGUUUAAUAUGUUAAAAAUUUCUGAUAUGGCAAACAUAAUGGUAUACAUCAUCUGUCUGCAGCUUGAAAAAAGUAAAAUUUUUUUAUCUUUUCUUCACUACAUGCAUUAUCCAACUUUAAAUGAUUGUUUUGAAGCCAUACUUGAUUUUAAAAAAUGCAGCAAGUUAUUAUUGGACUGGAUACUGCAGAGAUGAUUAGUGAGGUUGAGUUGCUAGGUCAUUCAGAAAUUGAUUUUGGCAUUGAUGAGUUAGAUGAUGAAGAUAGUGAUUUCCAUGAUGAAGAGGACGAUGACACUGAAAACGAUAACUAUGGAAAGGUGGUAACUUUUCCUUCAAUUCCCCCUUCAAGUUUCAGAUUGUAGUUUUCUGCAGUAUGUGGACAUUGAUAUUGUUCAUCUGCAGGACUGGGUUGGUGUUCUUGAUGAUGAAGAAGAAGAUCUGGAUGAGGACUCUGAUGGAUCCAUAGGGGACUGGGCUAAAUUGGAGACCAUGCGGUCUUCUCAUCCAAUGCAUUUUGCCAAAAAGCUAGUUGAGGUGACUCUCCUAAUCAAAUUUGCUACAUAGUGUAGUAUUAGAAAAGUAGAUCGAAAAAAGUGGAACAUGGAAUACCAUUCUACUAAAUUGACUUUCCGACUAAAAUUACUAUAAUAUUUUUGCCUUUAUUUUGUCAUCGUCAUAUUCCCUUCUCUAAUUUAAAAUGAAUCAAGUUAAUACACCAUCAUAUAUCCAUUUUUGUGAAUCUAUUUUUGUUACAGGUUGUGUCUGAUAAUCCAGAUGAAUAUAUGGAGCAGCCUUCUGCUGGUCUUGCCAUACAAGGCCUCCUAAGACCUGCAUUUAUUGAAGAACACUCUGUCAUCCAGAACCAUAAAUCUAGUGGUGCUGAUACUAAUUACAUUUCUGAAGAACAAAUUCAAGAAGCCAUUUUUCAGAUCAAUGGUCACAAACCCGAAAAUGAAACUAUGCAAGGUAGCCCAAAUUUGGCAGGGGAAUUGGAGAAGGAUGAAAUGCUGGGAAAUGGAACUUUAUUUUACAAGCUAGAGAUGAUUAAAAUUCAGUUAGUUUCAUCACAUGGACAUCCGGUACUUUUGAUUUUUCUUUGAGAAUCUCAAGAUUGCAUGGUGCUCUCAUUUCUUCUGACCUUUACUUCUUCAUAUUUAAACUUUUUUGGUUCUCAUACUUGAGAAAGCUGCUGAAUCUACUCUAUUUUCUGCCUCUUUUGUAACUCUGCAUGUUCACAACUAUGUUUUGAUAGCAAUCCUAAAGUUGGCAGAAGUCAUCCAUGCCAUUUAGUGAAAUUUCUUUCAGCAUAUAUAUGUUCCAUGUACACAAUAUAGUUAUCUGUGGCGUGUUUAUUUCAUCUAAUAUUAGAAUGGAGAUGAAAAGUUUUGCUUGAUUCCUCUUCUUUUUCUUAAAAUACUCUGCUUUCAUGUCCUUGCAAUUGUUUACUAUCAGAAAUGAUACGUAGGGACCUGAAAAGGAGUUGUAGAGGAUAGAUGAGGAAAAGAAGAUGAAGGAAAUUAUGCUAUCAAUUUUCCCAUUACCCCAUGUUGAAUGAAAAACGUUUAUUUCUCUUUCUGAAAGCAGUGGGCUUUAAAUGGCAAACAACGAUUGGGAUGAGAAUAUCCCCCAAAUAGUAGGGGGCAGCCUUCCGUUUGAUACUAAUAGAUAUAUCUUUUGUACUCAAGGUCCAUCUCAAAUAUCGUAAAUAUCAACACCUCAAAUGAUGAACCUUCUUAUCAUUAGGGCAUGUUCUUAACUUGAACCAACUGUUUGACUUGAGAAAUAACUUGACUCUGUGUUUGCAAGUAUGCUGCUGCAAUGACUUGGCUGUACAAAUUUGACAUCCCAGACUUUGUGUCAGAUGUAUUUGAACAAAUAUAGAUUGUAAUGUACUUGACAGUUGCCUUUCUAUGCUACGUAUACUGAUGCGAUUAAAUUUCAAAUAGUAUUACGCAUUGAAUGCACCACUUUGAGGUGGUCUAUCCUUUUGCUAUUAGGAUGGGAAAGCAUAAAUUACUUUUUUUGUUCUGUUUGUGCUUUCUACAGAAUUUUGUUGAUAUAGAAGAUUUUAUGAAAGCUCAACCUGAUGCAAUAGUACAUUCAGCUGCAAAAAUUAUAUCUCGUGUCAAAUCUGGUGGAGAAAAGACUACACAAGCUCUCAAAUCUCUGUGCUGGAGAUGCAAGGGUAUUCAAGUGGAGGUGACACAAUGGAGUUAUAUUAAUCUGUAAUUGUAUCAUGCCUGUUAACUUGAAGUAAACUUUGCAUUGUUUGUAACUUGGAAAAUUGACAUGAAAAUAAGAUUAUAAUUUCACCCAUUCUUUGGUGACAUUUACAGCAUGAAGAAAGUGAGAGGAAUCAAUAUCUACUUCUCCUCACCCAUCUCUUCAUGAACAAGGCCUUUUAAACUUAUUCCCUCCUGGAAACUUAGUACUUACUUUUGCGAGAUUAAUUUGUUAAGAAUUUAAAUUGUGUAUGAAAAGUUACGUUCAUAAUAUUGGACCCUCAUCCAGUUGACGUUCUAUAUACUCUCUUGCAAUAUAUUGUCUUGGAAUACAAGAGAAGGCCAUCUAACAUAUUAAGAGAGAGUCAGAAAAGUUAUUUUUCUGCAAGCAAGUUCUUUUGCUAAUUUUAUAUAUUGAAUUUGUGACAGGAGGUGGCUCUUAUAGGUGUAGACAGCCUUGGUUUUGACUUAAGAAUUUGCUGUGGAACACAAGUACAAACAUUGCGUUUUGCAUUUAAGAAGAGGGUAUAUACUUUUUGUUCUUUACUUUUAUAUUCCAUCAAUUUCAUAUGCUCGUACUCAUCUUGGACCCAUGUGUUUGCA